Molecule: unclassified non-coding RNA, 213 nt
Filed under: Hevea brasiliensis (rubber tree)
Lineage: Eukaryota; Viridiplantae; Streptophyta; Magnoliopsida; Malpighiales; Euphorbiaceae
Source: RNAcentral
CGAUUUAUCUGACAGCUGUUAAGGUAGUUAACUUGAUAAAAUGAUAUGAUAAUUUACACAUGUGAAGCACGAAACAGAGGAAAACAAAAGGAAGAAAUGAAGAAGUUUAUCUUAUGACUGUAUACAUGAGCACAAGUUCUUUAUGUUUUUGGAAUUAUCAGGAUCUGAUCCAUAAAAUUUUAUUCCAUGCAGAGGCUAGGUGUGUCUAAGAGA